This 402-nucleotide ribosomal RNA is filed under the name uncultured bacterium. Its description in RNAcentral is "partial 16S ribosomal RNA". It matches the Rfam family "Bacterial small subunit ribosomal RNA", at positions 355 to 774 of the family's 1533-position model. The record is from RNAcentral.
UAGGGAAUCUUGCGCAAUGGGCGAAAGCCUGACGCAGCCAUGCCGCGUGAAUGAUGAAGGUCUUAGGAUUGUAAAAUUCUUUCACCGGGGACGAUAAUGACGGUACCCGGAGAAGAAGCCCCGGCUAACUUCGUGCCAGCAGCCGCGGUAAUACGAAGGGGGCUAGCGUUGCUCGGAAUUACUGGGCGUAAAGGGAGCGUAGGCGGAUAGUUUAGUCAGAGGUGAAAGCCCAGGGCUCAACCUUGGAAUUGCCUUUGAUACUGGCUAUCUUGAGUAUGGAAUAGGUAUGUGGAACUCCGAGUGUAGAGGUGAAAUUCGUAGAUAUUCGGAAGAACACCAGUGGCGAAGGCGACAUACUGGUCCAUUACUGACGCUGAGGCUCGAAAGCGUGGGGAGCAAACA